GAGUGAAAUGAUGGUAUUCCAUCUUUCGGGACUGACCUGGAAUGGAGAUAACACUUCUUACUGAUCACUC
Molecule: small nucleolar RNA, 70 nt
Organism: Lepisosteus oculatus (spotted gar)
Lineage: Eukaryota; Metazoa; Chordata; Actinopteri; Semionotiformes; Lepisosteidae
Gene: SNORD2
Product: small nucleolar RNA, C/D box 2
Source: Ensembl